RNAcentral lists this transfer RNA (72 nucleotides) under Mycobacteroides abscessus subsp. abscessus. Its description in RNAcentral is "tRNA-Pro(cgg)". It matches the Rfam family "tRNA". Rfam says of the family: Transfer RNA (tRNA) molecules are approximately 80 nucleotides in length. Their secondary structure includes four short double-helical elements and three loops (D, anti-codon, and T loops). The record is from RNAcentral. Lineage: Bacteria; Bacillati; Actinomycetota; Actinomycetes; Mycobacteriales; Mycobacteriaceae.
UGUGGCGCAGCUUGGUAGCGCGCUUCGUUCGGGACGAAGAGGUCGUGGGUUCGAAUCCCGCCACCCCGACCA